This 72-nucleotide transfer RNA is filed under the name Anaerolineaceae bacterium. RNAcentral describes it as "tRNA-Lys". It matches the Rfam family "tRNA". From Rfam's summary of the family: Transfer RNA (tRNA) molecules are approximately 80 nucleotides in length. Their secondary structure includes four short double-helical elements and three loops (D, anti-codon, and T loops). Further hydrogen bonds mediate the characteristic L-shaped molecular structure. tRNAs have two regions of fundamental functional importance: the anti-codon, which is responsible for specific mRNA codon recognition, and the 3' end, to which the tRNAs corresponding amino acid is attached (by aminoacyl-tRNA synthetases). tRNAs cope with the degeneracy of the genetic code in two manners: having more than one tRNA (with a specific anti-codon) for a particular amino acid; and 'wobble' base-pairing, i.e. permitting non-standard base-pairing at the 3rd anti-codon position. The record is from RNAcentral. Lineage: Bacteria; Bacillati; Chloroflexota; Anaerolineae; Anaerolineales; Anaerolineaceae.
GGGCGCGUAGCUCAAUGGUAGAGCAGUGGCCUUUUAAGCCAUUUGUUGGGAGUUCGAUCCUCCCCGCGCUCA